Molecule: transfer RNA, 74 nt
Filed under: Cavia porcellus (domestic guinea pig)
Lineage: Eukaryota; Metazoa; Chordata; Mammalia; Rodentia; Caviidae
Rfam family: tRNA
About the family: Transfer RNA (tRNA) molecules are approximately 80 nucleotides in length. Their secondary structure includes four short double-helical elements and three loops (D, anti-codon, and T loops).
Source: Rfam by way of RNAcentral
GGGGAUGUAACUCAGUGGUAGAGAGUGCUUGUCUACCAUGCACAAGGCUCUGAGUUCAAUCCCCAGUACCACCA